GGGCCUGUAGCUCAGUUGGUUAGAGCGCGCCGCUCAUAACGGCGUGGUCCCUGGUUCGAGUCCAGGCGGGCCCACCA
RNAcentral lists this transfer RNA (77 nucleotides) under Alphaproteobacteria bacterium MarineAlpha5_Bin12. RNAcentral describes it as "tRNA-Met". It matches the Rfam family "tRNA". Rfam says of the family: Transfer RNA (tRNA) molecules are approximately 80 nucleotides in length. Their secondary structure includes four short double-helical elements and three loops (D, anti-codon, and T loops). Lineage: Bacteria; Pseudomonadati; Pseudomonadota; Alphaproteobacteria. RNAcentral also lists the same sequence under 1 other name. The record is from RNAcentral.